UCCCCUCUACCAGAACCUCAUCCCUCCUUCCAAAAGCGAAUAGCACAGAGCACAUCGCCAUGGAUUCCUCUGCUGCUGCACUGCCCGUCUCAUCCCGCUCAUGUGCUGAUUCCGAAGGCAUCGAAUCGACUGCUCUGGCGGUUGCAGAUAGAGUUGUGAAGGGAGGGCACCGGGGUGUUGCUACGGGAGACGGGCGAGCGGCGACCGGGAUGUUGCGUCCACGGUGGUGGAGGGGUCAAGCUGCGAGUGCGCCGCCCGUCUGCGUCCAGUUCCGGAACCAGCGAGUUUCAGUGCUACCACCGGCUCCGCCGGGUGCUGGAACCAGCAAGUUUUGAUGCUACCACCUGCUCCGCCAAGUGCUGGAACCAGCGAUCUCCGGUGCUGCUAUCGGUUAUGUCCGGUGCUGGAACUAGCACGCCGGCGAGUUUCGACCGAUGCUGGAACCAGACGCCGUCGAGAACUGCUGGGACCAGCAAUAAAUUUUGCUGGAACUGGUAGGAAGUUUUGUUGCGCACAGGCAAAGAUUGUUUUUGGCUGGUGAUCCCACGCCAAGAUGCUGGUGAACCAUAGUUUAUUUUUGCUGGAACCUGUGUACCACUUUGCUACUACCGUGGUUGUGUUUUGCUGGAACCAGCCCCGAUUGUUGCUACCACCGUAUUUGGUUUUUGCUGGAACCAGGCUCCUACUACCUUCUUUAGAUUUUGC
Molecule: ribosomal RNA, 705 nt
Filed under: Triticum aestivum (bread wheat)
Lineage: Eukaryota; Viridiplantae; Streptophyta; Magnoliopsida; Poales; Poaceae
Description: partial small subunit ribosomal RNA
Source: RNAcentral